AUACUUACCUGGCAAGGUACCCAAGCUAUCUUGAUCAUGAAGGAGGUUUUUCCAGGGUGAGGCUCAUCCAUUGCAUUCUGAGAGUGCUGAUUCCUGUGAUUUCUCCAAAUGUAGGAAACUCAAUUGCAUAAAUUGUGGUGGAUUUUAGUAUUUUGAUUGUUAUAUA
Molecule: small nuclear RNA, 166 nt
Organism: Crotalus tigris (Tiger rattlesnake)
Lineage: Eukaryota; Metazoa; Chordata; Lepidosauria; Squamata; Viperidae
Product: U1 spliceosomal RNA
Exons: 1
Source: RefSeq, a predicted model, not a curated record